AGUGUUCUGGAUAGCCGAGGGGUUCGGGCGCGGGGCUGCGGAGCCGCAAGGCGCCUCUGUCGCCGAGUUCGAGGUUCGCCGAUGACAGGAUGCGGCCCGCGGACGCCUGGCUUGACAACAAACCUGUGCAACCGCCGCACAGCCCAAACUACGGGAGAGAUGAACCGCUGCUGCAGUUUCAUCACACUGUACCUUUCAUAGGAUCGAAGGGGGAGGGAAAGAACAAAGUGAGCUGGGAACCUCCCCCCCCCAAAAAAAACCCCCACAACAUUAGAUCACGCGUAAAAGUGUCCGACAGGCGACUUCCUGUGCAAAGCGAGUGAAUUGGCAAAAGCAGGAAAAGCUCCGGAUUUAGUUCUUCCCUUCAGGGCGACUCGCUCUAUUUCAGCAGAAGACACAGCAGAACGCGACGGGAAGUUCUCCAAGGGGUAUUGGGAUGGAUCCGUGCGGGAUUUGUUUUACGUCCUCAAAAGUGACUCUGGUGGGACUCGAACCCACAACCUUUGAAUCGCUGCGCCACGCUAGAAGUCCAAUGCGCUAUCCAUUGCGCCACAGAGCCGCGGGGCACGCUCUUCCCUCUGGCUCUUAAAAGGAGACUUACAGGUUAUUUUAAGGCAAUCCAGAACGUUUACAUGGGGAGGCAGAAAGCACUUGCUUUGCGUUUGGAAUUGCAGCCAAGCCUGGGGUGGCGAGUACUAGAAGAAAAAAAAAAAGAACCGACAUGACUAUUGGGGUUUUUAAAAUGGACUAAUAAGAGGAACAAAAUCUGUGCACCAGAAUUGGGGUUCGAGCCUAGGCAGGCUUAUGUGUCGACUGGAUCUCAAGUCCUACGCCUUAGCCAUGGUUUACAGAAUGGCCCAGUGGCUAACUUUUAUCACUCCUCAAAAUAAGGUGAAUAAGUUCAGUGUUCGAAAUACGGCUUACUAUGAAAGCGUCUUUAUUUAACAAAGUUCACCAGCUUUUAGCCAAUGCUGAAGUUCUGAUGCCUUAGUGAACCAGAAGCAGCAGCUAACCUAAGUCAGGCAGACAGAAGGGGGACUAUUUCCUGCACCUGUCGAUUUUUUAUUUAUUUUUGGAUGUGUGUGCGCGUGCGUGUGUGUUCACACCGCUCAAAUGUAUGGAUCCAUUUCUUCCUAUAAUACGCAGCUAACUGAAAGUUUCACUUUGAGCUCCCCCGCCCCCCAUGAAAACUUGGAAAGAGCUUUCCGGUGCUCCCUCGCGCGAAGCGGGGGGAACUUUCUCCGCCUCUUGCCGCGAGGAGACCUCCCUGAGUUUUCUCGCCGCUUUUGUUGCCUCCUGCCCUCCAGACCGUGGGAUCAGAUGCCGGGAGACUUGGAGGAGUUUCCGUCUUCCCGCCCGACCCGAGGCAGCAACAAAUGCAAGUGAAAGAAAAAAAGCCUUUCCUCCUAGGAAAAAGAAAUCCUUGCGCAUGUAUCCCCGGUAGCCGCUUUCCUGUGCUCGAGCCCGCCAGGGGGAGGCGAUCAUUCCCAGGUUCAGUCCCGGAAAUCUCUGGGUAAAAGGAUCAGAAAGAAAGCGGGGCGGAAGCCCUCUGGCCGUGACAAAGUAAAAAAGCAUCCCUGCCUGGACUCCAUGGCAGGCCUGGCCUGGACUCCAUGGCAGAACAAGAGAAAAGGAAGCCCAGGGGACCUUGACUCUGAGAUUCAACCAGGGCUAAGAAACCGGCCUUCCAGCUUCAGUCUGCGACCCAUCGGGGAGCCACGUGGGCUCACACGCCGCAAGAAGCCACUCCAGCAACACGCGGCAAGGAUUUUUACGCCACCUCUCCAAGUUUUAACUGAGAACGGGCUGCCUAGGAAGGGUUUCCUCGCCCUCUUUGCCAGGACACCGCAGACCCCACGGGUCUCUAACCGCAGGCAACUUAGAGGCGCCACUCGAGCCGCGGAACUGGUCCCUCUGCUUCGGCUGCAACGCACCACUUCCGGUGGGCGGACGACGACUGCGCGGAGGACUAGAAAGAAACACCUGUAGGGAUCCUGCCAGUCAGUUGCCCUCCGGCCUGGCGUUCUAUUUGUAGGGUUUUUCCUCAACCUGUGGGUCCCCAGAUGUUGUUGAACUACAACUCCCAUCACCCCUAGCUAGCAAGGCCAAAGCUCAGGGAUGAGUAGUGCUCCCCUCCCCUUUAAAAAUGUUUAGGGGUCCUCUCAUUUUGACUCAAGAAAAUCGCCAUUUCAGUAGUUCUAAUCGGGAAAAAUAAAUACAGUAAAUGGACAAAAGUACAAAGAUUCACAAAAUGUUUAGGGGAAUGCGCCCCCCCCAGGAAACAAGCACUGAAUAGAAGAUAAUAAAUACAAUCAAUAUGGGGAACAUUCGAACAUUGCUCUUCUGCAACUCUUUUAAGUGCAAAAGCAGAAGCAGCAGAUCCUGCGUCCUGAGCCCAGACGGCGUCCCCCAUCCCCAGAGUGUUGAAACGGGUUGCCUUCAGUCCUUUGCUCACCCCAUCGCUGCUAACAUAUCGGAAAAUGCCAGCUUCGUCCCAAAAAGGGAUGCUCCCUGCCCAGCGCUAGGUUCUCCGGCGCGUGAUUGAUACUGUGACCCUUCCAUCAUUUAAACUCCUUUGCUUUGCCCCUUUUAACUGUUCGUAGGAACCCCCAUUGCCAACCCCGGAGCAUUUCCAGCCCUGACUGCCGCGAAGCCGCGGACUUUUAGUGCAAUGCCCGCAGGGGGGGGUUGGAGAGCUAGGGAGUUUAAGGAUAUUCACGUUAAUCGGACAUUAGCGUAAACCACCAUAAUGCACAAAAUGUCUGGAAUCAGCUCACUCGGAAGAUAUAUAAUAGCACAACUUAAUGCAAAUUCCCCAGUGGGUAUUGGGAUCUUUGGCAAAUUUGUUUUCAUCCUCAAAAGAAACCUGUGACUCUGGUGGGACUCGAACCCACAACCUUUGAAUCACUUCACUACGCUAGAAGUCCAAUGCGCUAUCCAUUGCGCCACAGAGCCGCGCGUUAGGUUACCUCCUCUGCCUUAAAGGACACUUUUAUGUUACCUAAACAGUGGCCUCCAUAUGCCGGAAGUUUUCUUGGGGAAGUAUAAAGCAGUUGCUUUAGGUUGGAAAUUGCAGCUCCAUCCGGGGCGGAGAGCAAGAAGAAAAAGAGUUAAAAUGACUGGGGCGGGGAAGUUUAAAGCGGACUAGCAAACAAAAGCUCCCUCUCUUACCAGAAGUGGGGUUCGAACCCACGCAGACAUAUGUCUAUUGGAUCUUAAGUCCAACGCCUUAACCACUCGGCCAUUCUGGUAAUUAUGGUCAACUUUGACAACACCAUGAAAUAAGCUGAAUAACUUCAGCCUUUUGACGCGCGAUACAUCCGCCCCCCUGCUGGACGAAGAGCGUCUCCAUUCAACAAGCUGCAUCGAGUAGUAGCAGAAGUUCAAAACCCAUCUCCUAGCUACCCUGCCUGCCAGGAUUAGUGCGUACGACAGAGUACUACUGGAAGGGGCACGUUUCACACGAAUAAAUGUAAGAGAAUUCAUUUAGCACGGACGACUAUAGUUGGCUAACUAGUAAUAAAUCUUACACUUUCACCAG
RNAcentral lists this transfer RNA (3541 nucleotides) under Podarcis lilfordi (Lilford's wall lizard). The record is from RNAcentral. Lineage: Eukaryota; Metazoa; Chordata; Lepidosauria; Squamata; Lacertidae.